UAGGGAAUCUUGCGCAAUGGGCGAAAGCCUGACGCAGCAACGCCGCGUGGGGGAUGAAGGCCCUCGGGUUGUAAACCCCUUUCAGCAGGAACGAAUCUGACGGUACCUGCAGAAGAAGGCCCGGCUAACUACGUGCCAGCAGCCGCGGUAACACGUAGGGGCCAAGCGUUGUCCGGAUUCAUGGGGCGUAAAGAGCUCGUAGGCGGUUCAGUUAGUCGGGUGUGAAAUCUCCGGGCUCAACUCGGAGGGGCCACCCGAUACUGCUGUGACUCGAGUCCGGUAGGGGAGUGGGGACUUCCUGGUGUAGCGGUGAAAUGCGCAGAUAUCAGGAGGAACACCGGUGGCGAAGGCGCCACUCUGGGCCGGUACUGACGCUGAGGAGCGAAAGCGUGGGGAGCAAACAGG
RNAcentral lists this ribosomal RNA (405 nucleotides) under bacterium. RNAcentral's name for it is "partial 16S ribosomal RNA". It matches the Rfam family "Bacterial small subunit ribosomal RNA", at positions 355 to 776 of the family's 1533-position model. The record is from RNAcentral.